AGGGUGCACAAAAACAGGAACUAAUGGAGUCAAAAACUGUUAGGAUGUCGCAUGGCUGCAGUUGUGUGACCCCGUGGAUGCAGGAGUCCAGGAGAGAAUUGAGUGAAGAUGAAAUGUCCAGACCAAGGUCUUCGUCCCCACAAAGCAGGAGGCUACCAUGGAGCGGCCGAGGACCUUACAAACCCUUUGCAGUACACAAUAUGAGUCGAUCCGACUCUAGUCCCACGCCCAGAGAUGAAAAUCACUGGUUCCGUGACGGCAUGAUGCCGGAAGACCUAAGAAGAGGCUCCCCUUCUUCGCUGGAUCACUUUUGGCGUCACCAGGAUCAAGAUGGGUGUUACGGUCGGAGGGCAUCUCCUCGCAAUACGAUGAGCCGCCAUGCCCCGGGUUAUUUUUCCCAGCGUGAUCAAGGAUCAAGUGCAGAAAGACAAAGAAAAGGCUUCAGAGAAGAUAUGCAAGAUUUUAAUAAGAGGGAGUGGUCACCAUCUUCCCCUUCGAGGUUCCAGAAAGAGCGCAUAGCCCCGAAUUCACGUUUGGAUCACUCACCAACAAAGGCAGGCUGGAGGCGGGAUGAACGGGGGCAGGGCGAUGGGCGGUUCAGAGACGCCAGUCCCAACUUGAGGUCGGAUGAGCAAAGAGGAAGCAGAAGAGAGAAGCACAUUGAGGGCUCGUACAGAAGCAGACCAAGAGAGGAUCUGCACCAAGAGAGGAGCCCCCCCUGGAAGAAGCCAAGAAAAGACAUGGACCCCCAGCAUCACAGCGGGUUCAAGCGGGACAACAAGGACUUUGGCGAACGUCGCAACUUACCCGCAUUUGAAGGAGUCCACAGAGGGGGUCCUCCUCUUACAGAUGCUCACAGAUCAGGACCACAGACCUUUGAUUACGAUCACAACAGUUCAGGCAACUGGAGGUCACCCAGACGGGAGCAUAUGGACCACGGAGACCAUGGCUUUAACCUGCACAGACAGUCUGGUCCAUCUAGCUCCUCGCAGGAGCGAUUCAGGACCUCAAAUAACAAGCCUGAUGUCCGGGAAGAUUCCAGAAGACGCCCCUUUGCAGAUAAUUCGAGGGACGACUAUGAGCGCAAGAGGAGCCCACCGCCACAAGAGUGGGGAAAAGUCACCGGAGUUUCCAGACAAGAUGGUCAAAGAGGGAGAGGUGGUCCUCGUCAUGCGAGAGGUAGGCUCAGCCACAACCAGGGAAGAAACUUCGGACCCCACAAGUACCGGCAGAACUUUCAGCCGUCUUCUCGGGGAUUCCACGGUGCUGCUCGUGAGGAGAAGAGAGCCGGAUUCAGACCCCAAAAGGAAGCUCAUUACACAAAUGCAGUGGAAGAGGAGGAGCAAAGCUGGAGUGAAGAAGACGGCCACCUUGGGCAGAACAGGCCUGCGAGUCUGAAACCCCUUUUGCAGAGGGACUCACCAGUAAUGGCGCGGAAGUUGCCGGGUAACGAGCGGGAGGAGAAGAAGCUCAAAAACAUGACUGUGGUAACAGAGGAGACGCUAACCAUUAAAGUGGACAUGAGCCGGCCGGCGCACACAAGCAGCAGCACGCAGUGUUACUCCGCAGACCACCAGCUCUCGCUAGACCUGGUCAACGUGGGCCGUCAGCGUCUGGACUUCCUAGCCUCCUCGGCGGAGUCGUCCGAGAGCCGCCAGGAGGGCGUCGGCGGCGUGAAGACAGCGACGUUCGCGCAAGAAGUCAUCACGCUGGUGCACCAUGUCAAAGAGCUCUACUUCAAAGGCCAAGGGAUCACGCUGAACAAACGCUUCUCCGCGCCCCAAAAAGCCCCACCCGUCCAUAGCGAAGACGAGGCGAAAAUGACGUUGGACAAGAGGUUUACAUCCAAACACUUCAACCCGAAAGAUCUUCAGGACAACAACUUUUCCCAGCCCGCGUACGCCCCCCAGGGUGACCUGAGAUACGACCUGGAGCGCCGGCGGCAAGAGCGUGUGGACGGCGUGACCAUAACGAUACCGGGAAGCGGCCACCAAGGCGAGGCCAGCACGGUUCAGUUCGGCGGCGAGGACGUGAUGUUUGCAGAAGUGCAGGACUUUGGAUGGGACGCCAACUGGGGUUCCAGGAGAGGCGCACCUCACAGAAUGAACUCCGGCCCGCCUCAAAGGUUUAAGAACCUUCGGCCUACGCAGGGCCAGAACCACUCCAACCACGCAGAGUUCCUCGAGAAGUAAUCAAGAAUGGUGGAAGAGUGUAAGAUUUUACAAAACGACACAAGAAAAGUACCACGCACUCCAGUCCAAGAGAGCACAGUGGAAGAAUGCACGAGUUUGCAGUUAAAGGUCCCAGCUGGUGAUGGCGCCCACCAAUUGCUCUCAACGCCGCCUGCCCACCCACCGAAGACGACAAGCACCACGUUGUCUUGGUUGUCUCUUUUUCUUCUGGUUUCCUUUUCUUUGCUCCUCCAUAUUUGUGGCAAGGUAACGUUGAAGUCGUUUGCAGAUCUACUGUACUUUAUUUAGAUCCGUCACAUUAAAACCAUGUUAUAGUAAUAAAAACAAAAAUAAUCA
Molecule: RNA transcript, 2528 nt
Organism: Nerophis ophidion (straightnose pipefish)
Lineage: Eukaryota; Metazoa; Chordata; Actinopteri; Syngnathiformes; Syngnathidae
Exons: 11
Source: RefSeq, a predicted model, not a curated record